This 465-nucleotide ribosomal RNA is filed under the name Vreelandella stevensii. Its description in RNAcentral is "partial 16S ribosomal RNA". It matches the Rfam family "Bacterial small subunit ribosomal RNA", at positions 338 to 795 of the family's 1533-position model. Lineage: Bacteria; Pseudomonadati; Pseudomonadota; Gammaproteobacteria; Oceanospirillales; Halomonadaceae. The record is from RNAcentral.
CCUACGGGAGGCAGCAGUGGGGAAUAUUGGACAAUGGGGGGAACCCUGAUCCAGCCAUGCCGCGUGUGUGAAGAAGGCCCUCGGGUUGUAAAGCACUUUCAGUGAGGAAGAACGCCUGGUGGUUAAUACCCAUCAGGAAAGACAUCACUCACAGAAGAAGCACCGGCUAACUCCGUGCCAGCAGCCGCGGUAAUACGGAGGGUGCGAGCGUUAAUCGGAAUUACUGGGCGUAAAGCGCGCGUAGGUGGCUUGAUAAGCCGGUUGUGAAAGCCCCGGGCUCAACCUGGGAACGGCAUCCGGAACUGUCAAGCUAGAGUGCAGGAGAGGAAGGUAGAAUUCCCGGUGUAGAGGUGAAAUGCGUAGAGAUCGGGAGGAAUACCAGUGGCGAAGGCGGCCUUCUGGACUGACACUGACACUGAGGUGCGAAAGCGUGGGUAGCAAACAGGAUUAGAUACCCUAGUAGUC